Molecule: ribosomal RNA, 494 nt
Filed under: uncultured Glomus
Lineage: Eukaryota; Fungi; Glomeromycota; Glomeromycetes; Glomerales; Glomeraceae
Description: SSU rRNA
Rfam family: Eukaryotic small subunit ribosomal RNA
Source: RNAcentral
AGCAGCCGCGGUAAUUCCAGCUCCAAUAGCGUAUAUUAAAGUUGUUGCAGUUAAAAGCUCGUAGUUGAAUUUCGGGGUCAGCAAGUUGGUCGUGCCACUGGUAUGUACUGGCUUUGCUGAUUCCUCCUUCUUGUAGAACCGUAAUGCCAUUAAGUUGGUGUUGCGGGGAAACAGGACUGUUACUUUGAAAAAAUUAGAGUGUUUAAAGCAGGCUAACGCCUGAAUACAUUAGCAUGGAAUAAUGAAAUAGGACGAGCGAUCCUAUUUUGUGGUUUCUAGGAUUGACGUAAUGAUUAAUAGGGAUAGUUGGGAGCAUUAGUAUUCAAUUGUCAGAGGUGAAAUUCUUGGAUUUAUUGAAGACUAACUACUGCGAAAAGCAUUUGCCAAGGAUGUUUCAUUAAUCAAGAACGAAAGUUAGGGAUCGAAGACGAUCAGAUACCGUCGUAGUCUUAACCAUAAACUAUGCCGACUAGGGAUCGGAUGAUGUUAAUUUA